UCAAUUCCCACAUUCUUUAUCUGAUUUUCUAAGUCUAGGAUCGUGGUCAAAACUUUCGUUAAAGGUACGGGGUGUUACAGGGGUCCUGUCCCAUCCUUACUAUGUUAUGCAUUCUACAUAGAGGCUCGUAGACAGAUGUGUGCAUCUAGACGUCUAAUGACCUCCUUGGUCUAUAUUUUGUUACAUCCUUUGACGGCCAUGUCGGCUUGUAUAUAUAGGCACAGUUGAUGAUGUGCAUUUAUAUAUAUAUAUAUAUAUAUAUAUAUAUACGCCUUCGAGUAUGUAUCUUGGACAUGUGCUCCUUCCAGUUAUGAUAUUUAUGAGUUAGCUUCAUGGCACUCAGAUAUGACUAUGAGAUGUACGUUUUGAGGUACUCCGUAGGCUAGCUCCGGGUGUCCGUCAUGGCCCUCCGAUUAGCUCGUGACAAGUAUGGGUAUUGUUGUUUCUUAUUUCUAACUUAAUUCGAUAGUGGAUAGACUUUGAGUACUUGGAGGCUCUCUGGAAAGGCAAGGAGAAGAUUUGAUUGUUCUGAAGCUCGACUGCCAGAGACUUGGUGCUGGUGAUGAUGAGAGAGGGGAAAGGCCGAUGCCCAAGGUCUUUGCUGGGAUCGUGAGAGUGGUACAUGGACUUCGCGGGUCCCCCAUGGGUCAUGACUGUUGGGGCGCAGAGAGUACGUGACAAGUUCCACACCCACUCCUCGCGACUGAUUCCCAAGGCCUUGCUACUGAGUUUCUAGGGUGAGCAUGCUUGAUGGAUCUGCAGCCCGUAGACUCUUUCUUUAUACUUGUCUUUUCUUGCAUUCUGAGACAGUAUUCGUAUUUUGAGACUUUGUAUUAUUCCAGACUUGUAGUUGAUUAUUAGUGGCUCUUGUACUGUAUUCAGACCAGUUCCUUGGGGUUCUAUUAGUAUUGUA
This is a long non-coding RNA of Lycium barbarum (goji berry), 913 nucleotides long. RefSeq lists it as uncharacterized. The record is from RefSeq and is a predicted model, not a curated record. The transcript is spliced from 3 exons. Lineage: Eukaryota; Viridiplantae; Streptophyta; Magnoliopsida; Solanales; Solanaceae.